Molecule: transfer RNA, 74 nt
Filed under: Acanthaster planci (crown-of-thorns starfish)
Lineage: Eukaryota; Metazoa; Echinodermata; Asteroidea; Valvatida; Acanthasteridae
Description: tRNA-Thr
Rfam family: tRNA
About the family: Transfer RNA (tRNA) molecules are approximately 80 nucleotides in length. Their secondary structure includes four short double-helical elements and three loops (D, anti-codon, and T loops).
Source: Rfam by way of RNAcentral
GGCGCUGUGGCUUAGUUGGUUAGAGCGCCUGUCUAGUAAACAGGAGAUCCCUGGUUCGAAUCCGGGCGGUGCCU